This is a small nucleolar RNA of Leptonychotes weddellii (Weddell seal), 152 nucleotides long. The record is from RefSeq and is a predicted model, not a curated record. NCBI's taxonomy places the organism in Eukaryota, Metazoa, Chordata, Mammalia, Carnivora, Phocidae.
AUUAUAUAAGAAAACAUAUUUCACUUAAGUAAAAAUUUCACAAUGAACUCACAAGUGUAGGUAGUGUAUGACGUGGGGGGCAAAUCUCUGGCUAACACCACAAGGGUCUCUGGCCCAAUGAGUGGAGUCUGAUGGUAAUUCUUGCUACAAGU